Molecule: RNA transcript, 1139 nt
Organism: Chenopodium quinoa (quinoa)
Lineage: Eukaryota; Viridiplantae; Streptophyta; Magnoliopsida; Caryophyllales; Amaranthaceae
Exons: 4
Source: RefSeq, a predicted model, not a curated record
AAAUUGUAGUGAAGGGCUGAGAUUUUUUAUCGAACCCGGAAAGAAAAACAGGAGGCCUGAAUGCCUGAUAUUAGAAAAAAGAUUAAAACCAAAACCGACUCUAAAUACUUGUAGGUUAUAAAUUGCAGUUAGAUUGCAAGAUUGCAACUUCUUUUCCUCUCAAAAUUUCCAGAAAAUCCUAAUCGAAGAGAAGCAAUAGAAAUUGAGAAAAAACUUUUUUAUAAAAAUGGAUGACUCUAUCCCUGUUCGUCUUUUUCGUUCUAUUCCUCCUCUAACUGAGUUUCUGGAUGCAGAUCCAUUGGAUAGCACUAACCUCGAUAAAUUCACGGACGAUCUUCUAGCGAAGUGGGACGAGUUGGAGAAGGAUUCCUUGCCUAUAUUCAUUCCCGAUACGGUUAUAUUCUUCCCAGGGCGUACGGACAUUUCCAAACCCUUGAGCAAGGCGGAUCUCUAUAGUCAAUUGGCUGAGUAUUCUGAACAGGCCUUGGCUUACUUUAACAAAACCAAUGUAUGCAUAAUUUAACAGGCCUUGGCUUACUUUAACAAAACCAAUAACACAGACUAUAAGUCUGAAAAUAAUGGCGAAAUCGUCUAUGGUGAUCAGGAUUAUUGUUAUGCUACUCAUUGCAACUUCACUGCUAAGCCUGAUACAGCGCCUCUCAUUCCUGGGGAUUUUUCCAGCAAGCUCUUCUUUGCUGAAUUUAUGCACACUCCUCAGUCGAUGACUUCCCUAACUUAUUGUAGUCUGCUAGAUGGUGCGGACUACAAGAAAUACUGCGACAUGUGCCCCAAGGGAGUGAUUCGUCAUCCGAAAACUUUCCGAUAUGGUGACAAACCACCCCUGGAUUGAUUUCUCAGCCAAUAACUGAAUUUUGGUGAGGAAGGGGGUUGGAUGAAUUGUACAUGGAAGGGCAUCAUAUGUGCCACUUGAAGACCAUGUAGUAAACUUGUAGUAAUGUGUGGCUGCAGACUAUUUGAAUGUAGCCUAAAUAUGGUAAUGUGUGUGGUUUACAAGAAAGUUUGAACUUAUAGUAAUGUGUGAUUUGCAAGACAAUUUGAAUGUAAUAUGUGGUUUGCAAGACUAUUUGAAUGUAGCCUAAAUAUGGUAAUGUACUAAGGUAGCCUAAAUUAGCUAAUAA